Pongo pygmaeus (Bornean orangutan) is the source of this 6178-nucleotide long non-coding RNA. RefSeq lists it as uncharacterized. The transcript is spliced from 2 exons. The record is from RefSeq and is a predicted model, not a curated record. NCBI's taxonomy places the organism in Eukaryota, Metazoa, Chordata, Mammalia, Primates, Hominidae.
CAGCUAUACCAAAUAACCAAGGCAGGAAGGAAAAGGAGAAUUUAAUGAAAAUAUUUUUUUUCUGACAACAAAAAGUACAAAAGAGUACCUUUUUUUGGUUAACUCUCAUGCUAACUGAAACUCAAAUAAUACAUUCUAGGCUUUCUUUUAAAGACUUCAAAAUCUACUGCACUAGUCAUUUAACACUUAAAUAUUAAUAUAAAUAAAUAUAUGCUUAAAUAUAUAUAUAAAACAAUAUACAAACAAAUAAACAAAUUCUGGUUGUCCUAAAUUAAGGCAAUAUUGCCAAAGUACAGAACAGGGUGAGUGAGAAACAAGGUGAGUUGAAGCAAAGACUCAUGGAGGAGGCAAAAAAUCAGAGAAAAGAAGAACAAGAAGGAUUUUCACAAAUGGGAGAAGAGGAGAAAGACACUCUAGAAACUAGUCUGAGGAGGCAAAGAAGCAAUUUCCAGAUGGAUGAACAGAUGUAAUUGUUCAACGGUUGGCGACUCCUGGAUAAGUUUUGCAAGCUGCUGGUGAUCACUAUAUGCAAAGCAGAAGUAGAACGUGGUUAAGUUUUCUGUGUUUCAUGGUUAGAUCUAUUAUACCUUCAUUAUGGGUUACUGCUCCAGGUGUUUAAAAAAUGACUCCAUUUUUUGAAGAGAGCAAGAAUUUUUUUUUUUUUUUUUUUUGAGACAGUGUCUUGCUCUGUCGCCCAGGCUGGAGUGCAGCAGCACGAUCUCGGCUCACAGCAAGCUCCGCCUCCCAGGUUGAUGCCAUUCUCCUGCCUCAGCCCCCCGAGUAGCUGGGACUACAGGUGCCUGCCACCAUGCCCGGCCAAUUUUUUGUAUUUUUAGUACAGAUGGGUUUUCACCCUGUUAGCCAGGAUGUGAUAUGCCCACUUCGGCCUCCCAAAGUGCUGGGAUUACAGGUGUGAGCCACCGUGCCUAGCCUAGAUCAAGAAAUUUUUAAUUCAAAAUAUGAAUUUAAAAGUUCAAGAAAGGCACCGGAGGGAAAUGCAAGAGUUCUUAAUUUCAAGGUUCUUUAUAUUCUUAUUUUCCCCAAAAGAGUAUUGUGUAUGUAAAGGAAAGUCUACAGAUGAAUCUUGCUCUUCAAACACUCAUGUCUUAACUUAUCAGUUAAGUUUAGCUAAAAUGAAUGUAAUGUCAGGUGCCAGAUAAUGAUGUAGUAAACAACAGACCACAUAUAAAACAGUGGUCCCAUAAGACUUUAGUAUCAUAUUUUUACUGUACCUAGAUAUGUUUAUAUACACAAAUACUUACCAUUGUGUUACAAUUGCUUAUAGUAUUUAGUAGUAGAGUAACAUGCUGUAUAGGUUUGUAGCCUAUAAGCAAUAAGCUAUAAGCUUAGCACACUCUUAUGUUAGCACAAGGAAAAGAAAAUCGCCUAAUGAUGUAUUUCUCAGAGCACAUCUUUGUCAUUCAGUGAUGCAUGACUGUAUAUCGUAAGUUCUCAAAGAAAUAAAACUUAAAUAUAAACCUUGGUCUUCAAAACAUUUAACAGUAUUUAAAAAGAGAGAGAUUUUACCCUUAUUAGUUGUAUUUGUUAAAGUCCCAGUAACUUGGUUGGUAUAAGAAUUGUGCUCAACCAUACUUGCUGAACAAAGGAAAGUAAGAUUAAUAAAGUCAACACGUUUUAAAAAAAUGAGGUUUUAGAGCUAAACUGAAUGGAAAAAAAAAAAAAAAACUUACAAGCUCAUUUGCCCAAAUUCAUCCUGUAAAGUCUGUAAGACUUCUGAUAACUCCUCAUUAAUACCGUUGGAGGAGGGAGGUGUUACUGACAACUUCUUACUUUUACCACCUCGUGAAGAUACUUGCUUUGCCAAAGGAAUACUGUUGAUGACUCGAUCAUUGCACAAAGCUUUACUGUGUUGCUUCAUUAGAUGCAAGACAAGCUGAACAUUGGCUACCACGGCAUGGCUAGGGCUUGUGGACUAAAGGAAGAAAAAUGAUGAAAGAAGUAAUUGAAGUUAUAUUCUCUACACCACUUUCUAUUCCCCAAGCCUACGUAAAAAGAACUCUCCACCCCCCAAAGUAGAGUAUAUAAAUCCUAAAAUUAUUCUGAUCAUGAUGUUCUUCUAUUUGAAAUCCUUUUAUAUAAAUCCACUAUGUUUCAGAAUGGAAAAUAAGACCCUACAUACACGUAAUUGAGCUGCAACCUACAUUUCUUAGCCUCAUGUCCUGUCAUCCUCCACUUCUCUCCAUUUUGUGAACAAACCAUAUUUGCAGAUGACAUUUUUUUGGUGUGUUAGCAACAUUUAUAUCAUUCUUUAAAACCCAGUUCAAAUAUAUUAUUUUUAAAGGCUUCCUUAAAACUGCCAGGUAAUCAAUCAGUCCAUUCUCAGAUCGCCUAUAACACUUUUUACAUCUCUCUCAUAGCAUUUAUCAUAUUUUAAUUGCUUUUACAUAUCUAUUUCACCUAUUAAACAGUGUACAUCCAGGUGGUAGAGACUAUUGUUCAUUUCUGUAUCCUGGAAUAAUAGGAAGCACUAAAUACAUUUCUAUCACAUGUGUAAGAAAAACCUGAUAGACUUCUCAAAGAUAUUUUGUUUUUGUUUUAAACACUAAACCAACAAUCUCAAUGUACUAUUCCACUUUAUAAAUAGAUGGCUGGGCUUACUUGGCUCCAUAAAUAUUAUUAGAAAGCAUAUUUAAAAUGCAGGUUCCUAGGCAGCACACCAAACGCACUGCAGAGUUAGGGUUUGGAAAUUUGUGUUUUCAAGUCCUCCAGUUGAUUUUGAUUAGCCAGAUUUGGAACCACCAUGCUACGCUAAACAUAUGCUUUCCUUCUAAUCUUAGUUUCUAUUGUUAGCUAGCAAAGUGAAUGCAGCAGUAUUAUGUAUCACAUCCAAGUGGGAGUUUAUUACAUCAAUGCAAGGCUGGUCCACUAUUCAAAAAUCAAUCGACGUAACCACUAUUUUGCUCGUAACUUGUAAUAUAUAUUUAGUAUACUAAUUGCCUAUGACUACACUUUCAAUAUGCAAUAACUUAAAAAAUUCUCAUUCCUGUUAUUUUUCUGAUUAUAUUAAUAUGCACUUGACCCUUGAACAAUGGAGGGGUUAGGGGCACCGACCACCCAUGCAGUCAAAACUCUGCCAUAAUGAAACUAUUUUUCCUACAACUUUUAAGUUCUGGGGUACAUGCGCAGGUUUGUUAUAUAGGUAAAUGUGUGCCAUGGUGGUUUGCUGCACAGAUCAACCCAUCACCUAGGUAUUAACCCCAGCAUCCAUUAGGUACUCUUCCUGAUGCUCUCCCUCCCCAUUGACCAACUCCCCCACCAAACAGGCUCCAGUGUAUGUUGUUCCCCACUACGUGUCCAUGUGUUCUGAUCAUUCAGCUCCCACUUAUGUAACUGAGAACUAUAAUAAAUUUUGCCCUAAAAUGUAGCUAACAGCCUGCUAUUGACUGGAAGCAUUUAUAUUAUGUUUUAUGUAUUAUAAACAAUAUUCUAAAAGUAGAAGAAAAUAUUAAGAAAAUCCUAAGGAAGAGAAAGUAUAUUUACUAUUCAUUAACUGGAUCACCAUACAGGCCUUCAUCCCCAUUAUCUUCACUGUUGAGCAGGCAGAAGGGUAGGGUUGGUCUUGCUGUCUCAGGAGUGGCAGAGGCAGAAGAGAUGGAGGGGGAGGCAGGAGAGGCUAGCACAUUCUGUGUAACUUUACAGAAAUACACUAUAAUUUGUCUUGACUUUUCUGCUUUUUCAUUUCUCUAAAAAUGUUUCUAUGAGAUACCAAUUCUUCUUCCACCAUUUGCUUUAGUUUCAGUGAUGUAUCACAGAAGGGUCGAUGUCGUAAAAGUCAAAAGCAGGCUGGGCGCAGUGGCUCAUGCCUGUAAUCCCAGCACUUUGGGAGGCUGAGGCGGGUGGAUCACCUAAGGUCAGGAUUUCGAGACCAGCCUGGCCAACAUGGAGAAACCCUGUCUCUACUAAAAAAAUACAAAAAUUAGCCAGGCAUGGUGGCGCGUGCCUGUUGUCCCAGGUACUUGGGAGGCUGAGGUGGGAGAACUGCUUGAACCCAGGAGGCAGAGGUUGCAGUGAGCCGAGAUCGUGCCAUUGCACUCCAGCCUGAGUGACAGAGCGAGACUCUGUCUCAAAAAAAAAAAAAAAAAGUCAAAAGCAGUCUUGAAUAAUUAGAACCCUUCUGCCAGAUUAUCUAAUGUCAACUUGUUUUCUGACAUUACUUCUGUGUUGUCUUCUUCAUCUUGUGGCACUGGUUUGAAAGCACUCGUAUCCAUCCCAGUCAUCUUCUGUUAAUUCCUCUAUCAUGGUGUCUACUGACUCUUUAAUUUCUCCAAGAUUCAUAUCUUGAAAUCCUUCACCUCCAACCUUUUUUGCCAUAUCUACAAUCUCUUUCAUGAUUGGCUUUGUCAUAAAUCCUGUGAAAUCAUGCACAUCACCUGGAGAGUUUUCUCCAACAGGAAUUUAUUAUUUCAGGCUUGAUGGCUUUCAUGACUUUUUCUAUAAAAAUGAUGGCAUCAUCUUCAACUGUAAUCCUUCCAGACUCUCAUAAUGUUCUCUCUGAAGUUCUCUUCCACAGCAUUAAGAACCCUUUUUAUAGUGUAUGUAAUGUGCCUUAGAGGUCCUUAUGCUCCCUCAUCUAGAGGCUGAAUUAGACACAUUGUGUUUAGGGCCAAGUAGACUACUUCCAUGCCUUUGGUGUUGAACUUCCAUGCUCCUGGGUAGCUAGGGGCAAUGCCUAGUAUUAAAAAGACUUUAAAAGGCAGUCUCUUACUGGCAAAUUACUUCCUGACUUCAGGGACAAAGCAUUGAUGGAUCAAUGCUUUUUCUAAAUCCAGUUUAGAAAAAGGGUUCUCAAAGGGGCAUUCUUGUUGUAAACCCAAAGACUGGCAGUUGGGUGUAUUUCCCCUUGAAGGCUCAGGGAUUAGCAGCUUUAUAGAUAAGGGCAGUCCUGAUUGUAAAUCUGAUUGUGUUUUCACAAAAUAGUAGAUUUAGCCUAUCUCCUCUUUCCUUAAAUCCUGGUGCUGACUUCUCCUCCUUACUUAUAAAUAUCCUUCGUGGCAUCAUGUUUUUCCAGAAUAGGGUUACUUUUGUCUGCAUUAAAAGCCUGUUCAGGAAGAUACCCUUUCUCCUCAAUGAUUUUCUUAAUGGUAUCUUGGGACUCAUCUGCUGCCUCUUGGUCAGCAGAAGCUGCUUCCCCUAUCUUGACAUUUUAAAAUCCAAACCUCUAAAAUUAUCAAGCCAUCCUUUGCUGGAAUUAAAUUCUCCAGCUUUAGAUACCUCACCUUCCUUUUAAGUUGUCAUACAAUGACUUUCCUUUUUCUCAAAUCGUAUUAGAGUCUAUAAGUAUGCCUUUCUUAUAGUAAUCCUGCAUCCACAUAAAAGCUGCAUUUUCAAUGAGAUAAAAAGCUAUUUUGCAAAAAGCACAAGGUUAUGGUACCUGCUAGAGUAGCUGCAGUGGUAGAUUCACAAAUUUCCUUUUUUUUUUUAAUUUUAAGAGGAUCUUACUCUGUUGCCUAUGCUGCAGUAUAGUGGUGCCAUCAUUGCUUACUACAGUCUCAAACUCCUGGGCUAAAGUGAUCCUCCUUUGUCAGCCUCCUGAGUAGCUGGGACUACAGGUGCAUCCCAACAUGCUGGGCUCAUUUUUUUUUUUUUUUUUACAACAAGCCUUCAGCUGGAUUCAUUUAUUUUGAAAUGGUGGACAACCGCAGCUGCGGACCUCAAUCUAUGGUACAUAUCAAGCAAUGCAACUUUUUCUUGUCAUGUCAUGACUUUUGUCUGCUUCUUAGGAGCACUUCCACCAUCAUUAGUAGCACUUGAUAUGGGUCCUAUGAUAUUAUUCAAAUUAUUUACUGUAUUGUGCAAAACAUGAUGGAAAAUAUGGAACUGCUAGAGAACACUUUUUACUGUGAUACACAAUUUACUGGAGAGAUGAACUGCUCAUUUGAAGAUGAUUAGCGUCACGUGGCAUUUUAAGUGACUACUCCCAACCCUUGAGCUCAUCACAAUGGCAACAGAAGGUGGCUACAAAAUUAUCAGUCGUACAGUAUGUACUACAGUUAAUUUUAUACAGUUAUGAUUUAAUACUGCAUCUUUAUCUCUGUUUACAUUUCUCUGGACUGUGAAUGGCGUCCCAUAGUCUGUGUGCAAAUCGUUUUGAUAAAUUAUAAUUAAAAAAACAGAUUUGUGCCUAUUUUAUGAUAGUAAAUGAUAAAAUGCACUAGUA